AGGAAAAGAAACUAACAAGGAUUCCCCUAGUAACGGCGAGUGAAGAGGGAAGAGCCCAAGAUUGAAAGCUGGCGUCUUCGGCGUCCGCAUUGUAAUCUCAAGAAGCGUUUUCCGCUUCGGACCAUGCCUAAGUCCCUUGGAAAAGGGCAUCAUAGAGGGUGAUAAUCCCGUACAUGGCAUGGAGCGCCCGAAGCUUUGUGAUACGCUUUCUAAGAGUCGAGUUGUUUGGGAAUGCAGCUCAAAAUGGGUGGUAAAUGCCAUCUAAGGCUAAAUAUUGGGGAGAGACCGAUAGCGAACAAGUACAGUGAUGGAAAGAUGAAAAGAACUUUGAAAAGAGAGUUAAACAGUACGUGAAAUUGCCAAAAGGGAAGGGUAGGAGGUCAGAGAUGCGGCCUGGGAUUCAGCCUUGCUUUUUGCUUGGUGUUUUUCCCAGGUUGCAGGCCAACGUCGGUUUUGGGCACUGGAGAAGGGUAGGAGGAAUGUGGCACCUCUCGGGGUGUGUUAUAGCCUCCUACUGGAUACAGCGACCGAGACCGAGGACAGCAGCGUACUCGCAAGAGCGGGCCUUCGGGCACCUUUACGCUUAGGGCGUUGGCAUAAUGGCCCUCUACCACCCGUCU
RNAcentral lists this ribosomal RNA (620 nucleotides) under Triodiomyces triodiae. RNAcentral describes it as "eukaryotic LSU rRNA". It matches the Rfam family "Eukaryotic large subunit ribosomal RNA", at positions 54 to 654 of the family's 3401-position model. The record is from RNAcentral. Lineage: Eukaryota; Fungi; Basidiomycota; Ustilaginomycetes; Ustilaginales; Ustilaginaceae.